Long non-coding RNA from Thalassophryne amazonica, 151 nucleotides. RefSeq lists it as uncharacterized. The transcript has 3 exons. Lineage: Eukaryota; Metazoa; Chordata; Actinopteri; Batrachoidiformes; Batrachoididae. The record is from RefSeq and is a predicted model, not a curated record.
GCAGACCACGUAACUGAGGCAGAACAUGCUUUUAUAUAAAUGAAGGUUGAUGUACAGAUGUCACAGUGUUGAAGAGGAUGUGCAGCCCUCAGCUGGAAACUUUUUUCAUAGACUGCCGCCUGUUCUAUUCACUGCAGGAGUUCUCCUCAUU